CCUUCGGGUGGCAGCAGUGGGGAAUAUUGCACAAUGGGGGAAACCCUGAUGCAGCGACGCCGCGGGAAGGAAGAAGUAUUUCGGUAUGUAAACUUCUAUCAGCAGGGAAGAAAAUGACGGUACCUGACUAAGAAGCCCCGGCUAACUACGUGCCAGCAGCCGCGGUAAUACGUGGGGGGCAAGCGUUAUCCGGAUUUACUGGGUGUAAAGGGAGCGUAGGCGGUGAUGCAAGUCAGAAGUGAAAGCCCGAAGCUCAACUGCGUGACUGCUUUUGAAACUGUAUGACUAGAUUGCAGGAGAGGUAAGUGGAAUUCCUAGAGUAGCGGUGAAAUGCGUAGAUAUUAGGAGGAACACCAGUGGCGAAGGCGGCUUACUGGACUGUAAAUGACGCUGAGGCUCGAAAGCGUGGGGAGCAAACAGGAUUAGAUACCCGAGUAGUC
This 440-nucleotide ribosomal RNA is filed under the name uncultured bacterium. Its description in RNAcentral is "partial 16S ribosomal RNA". It matches the Rfam family "Bacterial small subunit ribosomal RNA", at positions 338 to 795 of the family's 1533-position model. The record is from RNAcentral.